RNAcentral lists this unclassified non-coding RNA (218 nucleotides) under Hevea brasiliensis (rubber tree). Lineage: Eukaryota; Viridiplantae; Streptophyta; Magnoliopsida; Malpighiales; Euphorbiaceae. The record is from RNAcentral.
GCUGGAGAUGGAGGAUAUGACAUUAUUCUGAUUACAGAGAUACCUUACUCGAUCAACUCCUUGCGGAAGCUACAUGCCCUCAUAACAAAGUGCCUGCGACCGCCUUAUGGGGUGUUAUAUUUGGCUGCAAAAAAACAUUUCGUCGGUUCGAACUGUGGAACGCGUCAGCUGAGAGCCUUGGUGGACGAGGAAGGCAUUUUUGGCGCGCACAUUGUUAA